Molecule: ribosomal RNA, 464 nt
Filed under: uncultured bacterium
Lineage: Bacteria
Description: bacterial SSU rRNA
Rfam family: Bacterial small subunit ribosomal RNA
Source: RNAcentral
GACGACGCUGGCGGCGUGCUUAAAACAUGCAAGUCGAACGGACUUCUCAUGAAGCUUGCGAUUGAGAAGUUAGUGGCGGACGGGUGAGUAACGCGUGGGCAACCUGCCCCUGAGCCCGGGAUAACAGUUCGAAAGGACUGCUAAGACCGGAUAUACUUGCGGGGAAGCAUUUCUCUGUAAGGAAAGGGAACGCUCAGGGAUGGGCCCGCGUCCCAUUAGCUAGUUGGUGAGGUAACGGCCCACCAAGGCGACGAUGGGUAGCCGGCCUGAGAGGGUGAACGGCCACACUGGGACUGAGACACGGCCCAGACUCCUACGGGAGGCAGCAGUUGGGAAUCUUCGGCAAUGGGCGCAAGCCUGACCGAGCAACGCCGCGUGAGUGAUGAAGGUUUUCGGAUUGUAAAGCUCUGUCUUCCGGGACGAUAAUGACGGUACCGGAGGAGGAAGCCACGGCUAACUACGUG